Molecule: ribosomal RNA, 342 nt
Filed under: uncultured Anoxybacillus sp.
Lineage: Bacteria; Bacillati; Bacillota; Bacilli; Caryophanales; Anoxybacillaceae
Description: bacterial SSU rRNA
Rfam family: Bacterial small subunit ribosomal RNA
Source: RNAcentral
AGGUGGUGCAUGGUUGUCGUCAGCUCGUGUCGUGAGAUGUGGUAAGUCCCGCAACGAGCGCAACCCUCGACCUUAGUUGCCAGCAUUCAGUUGGGCACUCUAAGGUGACUGCCGGCUAAAAGUCGGAGGAAGGUGGGGACGACGUCAAAUCAUCAUGCCCCUUAUGACCUGGGCUACACACGUGCUACAAUGGGCGGUACAAAGGGUCGCGAACCCGCGAGGGGGAGCCAAUCCCAAAAAGCCGCUCUCAGUUCGGAUUGCAGGCUGCAACUCGCCUGCAUGAAGCCGGAAUCGCUAGUAAUCGCGGAUCAGCAUGCCGCGGUGAAUACGUUCCCGGGCCUU